GAAGUUAGCGGCGGACGGGUGAGUAACACGUGGGUAACCUGCCCAUAAGACUGGGAUAACUCCGGGAAACCGGGGCUAAUACCGGAUAACAUUUUGAACCGCAUGGUUCGAAAUUGAAAGGCGGCUUCGGCUGUCACUUAUGGAUGGACCCGCGUCGCAUUAGCUAGUUGGUGAGGUAACGGCUCACCAAGGCAACGAUGCGUAGCCGACCUGAGAGGGUGAUCGGCCACACUGGGACUGAGACACGGCCCAGACUCCUACGGGAGGCAGCAGUAGGGAAUCUUCCGCAAUGGACGAAAGUCUGACGGAGCAACGCCGCGUGAGUGAUGAAGGCUUUCGGGUCGUAAAACUCUGUUGUUAGGGAAGAACAAGUGCUAGUUGAAUAAGCUGGCACCUUGACGGGACCUAACCAGAAAGCCACGGCUAACUACGUGCCAGCAGCCGCGGUAAUACGUAGGUGGCAAGCGUUAUCCGGAAUUAUUGGGCGUAAAGCGCGCGCAGGUGGUUUCUUAAGUCUGAUGUGAAAGCCCACGGCUCAACCGUGGAGGGUCAUUGGAAACUGGGAGACUUGAGUGCAGAAGAGGAAAGUGGAAUUCCAUGUGUAGCGGUGAAAUGCGUAGAGAUAUGGAGGAACACCAGUGGCGAAGGCGACUUUCUGGUCUGUAACUGACA
RNAcentral lists this ribosomal RNA (672 nucleotides) under Bacillus sp. B18(2012). RNAcentral describes it as "bacterial SSU rRNA". It matches the Rfam family "Bacterial small subunit ribosomal RNA", at positions 88 to 745 of the family's 1533-position model. Lineage: Bacteria; Bacillati; Bacillota; Bacilli; Caryophanales; Bacillaceae. The record is from RNAcentral.